RNAcentral lists this ribosomal RNA (468 nucleotides) under uncultured bacterium. RNAcentral describes it as "partial 16S ribosomal RNA". It matches the Rfam family "Bacterial small subunit ribosomal RNA", at positions 28 to 507 of the family's 1533-position model. The record is from RNAcentral.
GACGAACGCUGGCGGCGUGCUUAACACAUGCAAGUCGAACGGAAAGGCCCUGCUUUUGUGGGGUGCUCGAGUGGCGAACGGGUGAGUAACACGUGAGUAACCUGCCCUUGACUUUGGGAUAACUUCAGGAAACUGGGGCUAAUACCGGAUAGGAGCUCCUGCUGCAUGGUGGGGGUUGGAAAGUUUCGGCGGUUGGGGAUGGACUCGCGGCUUAUCAGCUUGUUGGUGGGGUAGUGGCUUACCAAGGCUUUGACGGGUAGCCGGCCUGAGAGGGUGACCGGCCACAUUGGGACUGAGAUACGGCCCAGACUCCUACGGGAGGCAGCAGUGGGGAAUAUUGCACAAUGGGCGGAAGCCUGAUGCAGCAACGCCGCGUGCGGGAUGACGGCCUUCGGGUUGUAAACCGCUUCCGCCUGUGACGAAGCGUGAGUGACGGUAAUGGGAAAAGAAGCACCGGCUAACUACGUG